Molecule: ribosomal RNA, 472 nt
Filed under: uncultured bacterium
Lineage: Bacteria
Description: bacterial SSU rRNA
Rfam family: Bacterial small subunit ribosomal RNA
Source: RNAcentral
AUUGAACGCUGGCGGCGUGCUUAACACAUGCAAGUCGUGCGAGAAAGGGGACUUCGGUCCCUGAGUAGAGCGGCGCACGGGUGAGUAACGCGUGGAUAAUCUCCCUAGAAGUUCGGGAUAACGGCGGGAAACUGCCGCUAAUACCGUAUGUGCCCUUCGGGGGAAAGAUUUAUCGGCAAAGGAUCGGCCCGCGUUGGAUUAGGUAGUUGGCGGGGUAAUGGCCUACCAAGCCGACGAUCCAUAGCUGGUUUGAGAGGAUGAUCAGCCACACUGGGACUGAGACACGGUCCAGACUCCUACGGGAGGCAGCAGUGGGGAAUUUUGGACAAUGGACGCAAGUCUGAUCCAGCCAUUCCGCGUGCAGGAUGAAGGCCCUCGGGUUGUAAACUGCUUUUGUACGGAACGAAAAGGUUUCUAUUAAUACUAGGAGCUCAUGACGGUACCGUAAGAAUAAGCACCGGCUAACUACGUG